ACAGAAUCCUGCUGCGAUCCCUGGUGAGUGAAGGAGGACGGCCUCAUACACCAAGCAGGAGAUCAGCUGUCCAGUGGAUUCCCCAGAGGACACAGCUGGGUGUCCUCUCGUGCAACUGAGAGUUGCAAGCUUAAGCUUCCAGAGCUUUUGGACAACCUGCCAUAAAUUGAGGUUCUUAUAAUUCCUUUCCUAAGCUCGUUUAAUUUGCUGGAAAGAUUUGCAGAACAUGGGAAACACUUUAUUUGUGAUUAACGUUUAUUAAUAAAUGAUGCAGAUGAACAGCCAGAGGCAAAGAUGUGCAGAUGGACCAAAGACUAGAACCCCCUUAACAGAUACUCAGUUGGUUAUCCUUCUGGGAAACUGGAGAGAAUGGACAAAAAUGGCUAUUUCCAGACUGAGAUCUUCAAGCAUACUGUUUAUGGCAAUAACCUCUUUUUGAUCCACGUAUUUGCCCUUCUCUUCUGCUCCACCUACUCAUGA
Molecule: long non-coding RNA, 480 nt
Organism: Fukomys damarensis (Damara mole-rat)
Lineage: Eukaryota; Metazoa; Chordata; Mammalia; Rodentia; Bathyergidae
Exons: 3
Source: RefSeq, a predicted model, not a curated record